UACGGAGGGUGCAAGCAUUGAUCGGAAUUACUGGGCGUAAAGGGCGCGUAGGCGGCUUAGAAAGUCAGAUGUGAAAUUCCUGGGCUCAACCCCGGAGCUGCAUUUGAAACUUCUAAACUAGAGAAUAGUUAGGGUAAACGGAAUUCCACGUGUAGCGGUGAAAUGCGUAGAUAUGUGGAAGAACACCGGUGGUGAAGACGGUUUACUGGGCUGUAACUGACGCUGAGGCGCGAAAGCAAGGGGAGCAAACAGG
Molecule: ribosomal RNA, 253 nt
Filed under: uncultured bacterium
Lineage: Bacteria
Description: partial 16S ribosomal RNA
Rfam family: Bacterial small subunit ribosomal RNA
Source: RNAcentral